ACGCUCUACAGUGAACUCUAAAAGACCAGAAAGAGGGGAAGUGUCUAAAACAAGAGCUUGUUUACAAGAAAAGGUCCCUCAGACUCUGGUCUGUGUAGCCAGGGCUUCCCUAUCUGUCUGCUCCUCAAGACAGGAGCACUGGGGCCCUGUUCAUUUGAUCGGGUCCCAGAAAUGUGAUAGAAAGGGCCACUCCUCUCCACGCCCACGAGCAAAAGCUGAAGAAUUUAGUUUUUUUAUUUUACAUUUCAAAAAUAUGGCAUCAUAAUUAGCACACAUAAAUAAACCAUAACUGGCCUGCAGUAUUUCUUAUUGUCCUGUAGAUGGUGUUGAAGAGAUGAGGAGAGAGGUGGUGGAAAAGAAUAGGUGGAAGGGAAGAGAAGGGGAGAGAGGUGGUGGACAGAAUAGGUGGACGAGAAGACAAGGGGACAGAGGUGGUAGACAGAAUAUGGAGAGAAGAGAGGCGGAACGACGUGGUGGACAGAAUAAGAGGGAAGAGAAGAAAGGCGGAGGGAGGUGGUGGACAGAAUAAGAGGGAAGAGAGGAGGAGGGAGGUGCUGCAAGGAAUAAGAGGGAAGAGAGGCGGAGGGAGGUGCUGGAUGGAAUAAGAGGGAAGAGAGGAGGAGGGAGGUGCUGGAUGGAAUAAGAGGGAAGAGAGGAGGAGGGAGGUGCUGCAAGGAAUAAGAGGGAAGAGAAGAGAGGCGGAGGGAGGUGCUGGAUGGAAUAAGAGGGAAGAGAGGUGGAGGGAGGUGGUGGAUGGAAUAAGAGGGAAGAGAGGAGGAGGGAGGUGGUGGACAGAAUAAGAGGGAAGAGAGGCGGAGGGAGGUGGUGGACAGAAUAAGAGGGAAGAGAGGAGGAGGGAGGUGCUGGAUGGAAUAAGAGGGAAGAGAGGCGGAGGGAGGUGCUGGAUGGAAUAAGAGGGAAGAGAGGCGGACGGAGGUGCUGGAUGGAAUAAGAGGGAAGAGAGGAGGACGGAGGUGCUGGAUGGAAUAGGAAGAAGAGAAGAGGGAAAGAGAAGAGGGGAAGAGGGAGGUGGAGGUGGAGGACAGAAUAGGCGGUGCUGGUUUCAAAAAGGCCCACACUUCUGAAGGGGGAUCUCAUUUACAUUGCCUUGAUUACCUGAGUCCUCCACUGAGGGAGUUUGAUUAACCUGAACCGUGGUGCACCGGGCUUUGUCCCGUGACGUGAACGGAUAAAAGGGGGAAAGGAGGGACAUCUUUCUUAACUCUACGUGCAUAACUUUCGUCACUUUUGUUGAAAGUGAGUCCCAGGAAGCAGCCUCUUCCAAAACGAAUGCAAUCAUUUUUCACGCAUGUUAACAUAAUUUUCAUUAGCAGGUGGCUGAAUCUCAACAGAGAAACCACCCGAGCGAGGAAAACACCCCUCUGUCUCAGGAUGUGUAGCCCAUGUGUCUGAUGCCGUCUGGACCAAAAUAGAAUAUAUAACAUGUUGCCGCCAUAGCAGUUGAUUGAUGCCAGCAAGCAUUUAGCCUCUCUUGAUAAAAACAUUAUAAAAUAAUUAGCUAAUCAGCGUUGAGCUGAAAUGUGGGUUGUCCUGGUGCAGCAAAACAGCCCCAAGGGAUACCCCAAUCAAAUCACAUCCUAAGAAAAAGGUAAUCUUCAUGAAAAACGUGUCUGUUUCUGGUCUGUUUGUGUUGAUGUCCUGCAGUAGCUACCUUGUGUUGAUGUCCUGCAGUAGCUAGCUUGUGUUGAUGUCCUGCAGUAGCAGGAGCAGGACCUGUAACACCACCCGAUGCUACAGGAAGGCCAUAAAGAUCAUCAAGGACAUCAACCACCCGAGCCACUGCCUGUUCACCCCGCUGUCAUCCAGAAGGCGAGGUCAGUACAGGUGCAUCAAAG
Molecule: long non-coding RNA, 1856 nt
Organism: Oncorhynchus tshawytscha (Chinook salmon)
Lineage: Eukaryota; Metazoa; Chordata; Actinopteri; Salmoniformes; Salmonidae
Source: Ensembl